RNAcentral lists this ribosomal RNA (253 nucleotides) under uncultured Acidobacteriota bacterium. RNAcentral's name for it is "uncultured Acidobacteria bacterium partial 16S ribosomal RNA". It matches the Rfam family "Bacterial small subunit ribosomal RNA", at positions 524 to 776 of the family's 1533-position model. The record is from RNAcentral. Lineage: Bacteria; Pseudomonadati; Acidobacteriota.
UACGUAGGGGGCCAGCGUUGCUCGGAAUUACUGGGCGUAAAGGGUCUGUAGGCGGUGCGGCAAGUCGAUAGUGAAAUCCCUAGGCUUAACCUAGGGGCUGCUAGCGAAACUGCCGUGCUAGAGUGUGAGAGAGGCGAGUGGAAUUACGGGUGUAGCGGUGAAAUGCGUAGAUAUCCGUAGGAACAUCCGAGGCGAAAGCGGCUCGCUGGAUCACAACUGACGCUGAGAGACGAAAGCUAGGGGAGCAAACAGG